UCAGUCCGUCGUGUUGCAGCUGCCGUCGGGUGCACUAGACAUCGUGCUGGCUCAAAUCGUUCGAAACAAGCCAUCUCUGGAUAACUCGAGCGCGUACGAACGUACAGCGCAACACCUCCGACCUGAGAUCAGGCA
This 135-nucleotide ribosomal RNA is filed under the name Leucetta floridana. RNAcentral's name for it is "partial 28S ribosomal RNA". Lineage: Eukaryota; Metazoa; Porifera; Calcarea; Clathrinida; Leucettidae. The record is from RNAcentral.